CCCUCAGAGAUCCAUACUCCAAGAAAGGCUCCGAACACUUUUAUGAUGCUGCAAGUGACACAGGAUACAUUGCCUGGCGUAAUAAAACAGUCCACAGCAAUAUGGAGCGAUGCCACCAGACAGCCCUCUUCCUCAACAGUCUACAGCCAGGAAAUGGCAUCCCUUCUUUUAAUCCCUUCCACCACUUCCAGGAGGACUGAAGUCUCCAAAAAUUGCAUGCGAUGCAGCUGAAAGCCAUGUAAUCUAUCAUAAGUUUGGAGAAGCACCUCAGCAACAACCAUCCGUUCCUCCUUGCUGUUGGACGUCAGAAAAGCAACAGCUUCUACAUCGCCUUGGAUAAGCAUCUCCUCCCAUGCCAGGCAAACUGCUUCCUUGGAGCAUUUGAUGAACUUUUAAAUUUUGUGCACAUUUUUAGCACAUUUUGUGUUCAGUUUGCCAUAUGAUAGUGCACUUGUGAACUUUUACACAUUACUACACAUUUUUAUGAGCAUCUUCAUGCAUUCAGAG
Molecule: long non-coding RNA, 507 nt
Organism: Onychostoma macrolepis
Lineage: Eukaryota; Metazoa; Chordata; Actinopteri; Cypriniformes; Cyprinidae
Exons: 4
Source: RefSeq, a predicted model, not a curated record